Non-coding RNA from Pelobates cultripes (western spadefoot toad), 441 nucleotides. The record is from the annotation of a GenBank genome assembly. Lineage: Eukaryota; Metazoa; Chordata; Amphibia; Anura; Pelobatidae.
UCCAGUUACUGGGAUUAAUAAUUGGUUCAAGCCUUAGGUUUAUUUUGAAGGAAGAGGGGAUACUAAUAUCUGCCCUCUGGGAUUCUAUUAUCACAUGUUGGCUUUAUUGAAAGCCAUUGAAAUUCCAUUAAAGCUGAAUGCUACUUUCUAAAUUGUUUAAUUUAUUAUUGGAGUCUAAAAGGACUAGAACUAUUUAUCCAAAUCAGGAUAUACCUUAAUUUCAACAUUUACUUUAGCAACCAAAAAGACUGUUACAUUCCUAAAACAGGAAUAACCUGUUCUUCCAAUUCCUUAUUUGUUUUCUAAUGGACUAUAUUUUAUUUUCCUAAUUAAGGAGUUACCUUGUCUAUUUAUUUCUAUUGAAUACUAUCUCUGUUGAAGUUAUACUAAGCAAGAUUGCCAUUUAUUAUGCAUUAUUAUUUCCAAUAAUCAGUGCUGCAG